UCUCCCCGAAAGCUAUUUAGGUAGCGCCUCGUGAAUUCAUCUCCGGGGGUAGAGCACUGUUUCGGCAAGGGGGUCAUCCCGACUUACCAACCCGAUGCAAACUGCGAAUACCGGAGAAUGUUAUCACGGGAGACACACGGCGGGUGCUAACGUCCGUCGUGAAGAGGGAAACAACCCAGACCGCCAGCUAAGGUCCCAAAGUCAUGGUUAAGUGGGAAACGAUGUGGGAAGGCCCAGACAGCCAGGAUGUUGGCUUAGAAGCAGCCAUCAUUUAAAGAAAGCGUAAUAGCUCACUGGUCGAGUCGGCCUGCGCGGAAGAUGUAACGGGGCUAAACCAUGCAC
RNAcentral lists this ribosomal RNA (342 nucleotides) under Escherichia coli. RNAcentral describes it as "partial 23S ribosomal RNA". It matches the Rfam family "Bacterial large subunit ribosomal RNA", at positions 854 to 1194 of the family's 2925-position model. The record is from RNAcentral. Lineage: Bacteria; Pseudomonadati; Pseudomonadota; Gammaproteobacteria; Enterobacterales; Enterobacteriaceae.